RNAcentral lists this long non-coding RNA (1293 nucleotides) under Olea europaea subsp. europaea. Lineage: Eukaryota; Viridiplantae; Streptophyta; Magnoliopsida; Lamiales; Oleaceae. The record is from RNAcentral.
AACUAUUUUGACUUUAAUUACAACUCAAUUAUAACUCAACUCACCUAGAUUUUGGAUAUGGAGAAAACCAAUAACAAAUUGAGAUCUAACAGAGUAGAAUGGAGAAAAAAAGUUCAAAAUCUUAUCCAUUGAGUUGUCUGAUCCACUCCAUUAGUGUGACCAAAUAUGCCUUAAAAUAUUUGGUAGAAAAUGAAGGAAAUCAACAAUUACUGUCCAACAAUUAGUUCAGCGGACAAGGGAGAGCCCCAUCCUCAAUAGUAACUUGAAAAACAUUGAAGAUAAGUGAGUUCGUGAAAAAGAUAACACUGCUUACAUCCAUCAACGGUAGAAUUCUUAUUAGAGUUUUAUUUAGAUGGUAGCCAACUUGACUAUCUGAAGAUGCUCAUGAGAGUAUUAGUGUAGAUCUCACCAGCUGAUACGUAGUUGAAAAAGGGUUCAUCAAAGAAUUGACCAAUCCCUUCAUAUUUCCACUAUCAAAAAUUUCAAUUCAUUGGUAUCACUAAACAUUUAUAACAUUUUCCGAGUCCCCCCUGUUACACCCACUCAUUUCUGCUCAAAGUCAAGAAUUUAUUUAAUCAAAGUAAAAAAUUCAACUGAUCAAAGUCAAAUAAGGAUUUUCAUGGGGUCCGAUUCGUAAAUACAAGUACUUAAGGGCCGAAAAUAAAAUAAAAUAGAAAGUUAGGGAUUUAAUUUUCUAUUAUUAUAAUUAAAGGACUGUGUGUUAUAUUAUAUGAAGAAUGGGAACUUGAGAUGCAAUUAAAUAAUGGUUAUUUACUAACUUGGUGUUAUCAGAUGUCCCAGAUGCAAUGUGUAAGAGCCCAGGCUGCCUCAAACUAGAAAAUGGAAUAACACAAUGCAUGAUCCCAAAAAAAUUAGCAAUUGAAACACACGAAAUAAACAACUAUUAGCACAAAUUUAAACCUGCAUCUGUGGGUAACCAUCUCUUGCAAGAAACUCAACAAAUCGAGGAACAACUCCAGAUUGUAUUAGUUCCUCAAUUGGUGGAUUUCGUUCCGAGGCAAAAAACAAAUAAAAUGCAAACAGAAUCAGCUGAAAGAAAAAAGUAGCAAUAAACAGUAAUAAGGUCCAUUUCAAAUUAAAUAGAAUCGAUGAAGACAAUUAAUGAAUUACCUAUUGAAAGAAGUUUGCGAAACUGAGUUGUGGCCUCGAGUUGCAGUGUGCCGUCAUUUGAGCAAACGCCAGCGAUCAUUUCCGGUGGACUUUUUAACUGAAAGAUUGAAAAAUGAAAAGCCAAUAGCACAAAACCGAAGUAUUAUUCGAUCUAGAGCAAAG